AACGAACGCUGGCGGCAUGCCUAACACAUGCAAGUCGAACGAGACCUUCGGGUCUAGUGGCGCACGGGUGCGUAACGCGUGGGAACCUGCCCUUAGGUUCGGAAUAACUCCCCGAAAGGGGUGCUAAUACCGGAUAAUGUCUUCGGACCAAAGAUUUAUCGCCUUUGGAUUGGCCCGCGUUGGAUUAGCUAGUUGGUAGGGUAAAAGCCUACCAAGGCGACGAUCCAUAGCUGGUCUGAGAGGAUGAUCAGCCACACUGGGACUGAGACACGGCCCAGACUCCUACGGGAGGCAGCAGUGGGGAAUAUUGGAAAAUGGGCGAAAGCCUGAUCCAGCAAUGCCGCGUGAGUGAUGAAGGCCUUAGGGUUGUAAAGCUCUUUUACCCGGGAUGAUAAUGACAGUACCGGGAGAAUAAGCUCCGGCUAACUCCGUG
Molecule: ribosomal RNA, 433 nt
Filed under: uncultured bacterium
Lineage: Bacteria
Description: partial 16S ribosomal RNA
Rfam family: Bacterial small subunit ribosomal RNA
Source: RNAcentral